Molecule: ribosomal RNA, 429 nt
Filed under: Gemmatimonadota bacterium
Lineage: Bacteria; Pseudomonadati; Gemmatimonadota
Description: Gemmatimonadetes bacterium partial 16S ribosomal RNA
Rfam family: Bacterial small subunit ribosomal RNA
Source: RNAcentral
UAGGGAAUCUUCGGCAAUGGACGAAAGUCUGACCGAGCAACGCUGCGUGUGUGAAGAAGGUUUUUGGAUUGUAAAACUCUGUUGUCAGAGAAGAACAAGUACGUUAGUAACUGAACGUUCUCUGACGGUAUCUAACUAGAAAGUCACGGCUAACUACGUGCUAGCAGCCGCGGUAAUACGUAGGUGGCAAGCUUUGUCCGGAUUUAUUGGGCGUAAAGCGAGCGCAGGCGGUUACUUAAGUCUGAUGUGAAAGCCCCCGGCUCAACCGGGGAUGGUCAUUGGAAACUGUGAGACUUAAGUGCCGAAGAGGCGAGUGGAAUUCCAUGUGUAGCGGUGAAGUGCGUAGUAAUCUGGCGGAACUCAAGUGGCGAAGGCGGCUCUCUGGUCUGUAACUACCGCUGAGGAUCGAAAGCGUGGGGAGCAAACAGG